GAUGAAGAACGCAGCGAAAUGCGAUAAGUAAUGUGAAUUGCAGAAUUCAGUGAAUCAUCGAAUCUUUGAACGCACAUUGCGCCCGCCAGUAUUCUGGCGGGCAUGCCUGUUCGAGCGUCAUUUCAACCAUCAAGCCCCCCGGCUUGUGUUGGGGACCUGCGGCUGCCGCAGGCCCUGAAAAGCAGUGGCGGGCUCGCUGUCACACCGAGCGUAGUAGCAUACAUCUCGCUCUGGGCGUGCUGCGGGUUCCGGCAGUUAAACCACCUUCAUAACCCAAGGUUGACCUCGGAUCAGGUAGGAAGACCCGCUGAACUUAAGCAUAUCAAUAAGCGGAGGA
This 337-nucleotide unclassified non-coding RNA is filed under the name soil metagenome. RNAcentral describes it as "partial contains 5.8S ribosomal RNA, internal transcribed spacer 2, and large subunit ribosomal RNA". The stretch from base 1 to 120 matches the Rfam family "5.8S ribosomal RNA", at positions 35 to 154 of the family's 154-position model. The record is from RNAcentral.